UACGGAGGAUGCGAGCGUUAUCCGGAUUUAUUGGGUUUAAAGGGUGCGUAGGCGGGAUGCCAAGUCAGCGGUAAAAAUGCGGUGCUCAACGCCGUCGAGCCGUUGAAACUGGCGUUCUUGAGUGGGCGAGAAGUACGCGGAAUGCGUGGUGUAGCGGUGAAAUGCAUAGAUAUCACGCAGAACUCCGAUUGCGAAGGCAGCAUACCGGCGCCCUACUGACGCUGAGGCACGAAAGCGUGGGUAUCGAACAGG
Molecule: ribosomal RNA, 252 nt
Filed under: uncultured bacterium
Lineage: Bacteria
Description: partial 16S ribosomal RNA
Rfam family: Bacterial small subunit ribosomal RNA
Source: RNAcentral